GCCCUGGGGAGGGUGGUGGAAGCUUGCUGGGACCAGGGCCCCACCUGCUCUGCUGCCACGCUGAGGUCCUCAUCAGAGACCUGUUUUGAAUCAUAACACCAGUGGAGAAGAGGCAUUAUUUAUGAGCUCACUUCUUAGGCUUAGAAGACCGAAGAACAAUAUUUGUGCUGCUAGUAGAUGAAAUUGGUGCCACUGACAGAGUUCAAGAGAACAGAUGAAGUUACAAAUCUGUCCAUGGAUAUAAAGAAUACACUGGGGUCAGGCGGUCAAAUCCUUCCUGGACAUAAGACCCCUUCUCUCUCCAGCAGGAUUAUUUGGCCAUUCAUAAACAAUGCU
This 336-nucleotide long non-coding RNA is filed under the name Suricata suricatta (meerkat). Its description in RNAcentral is "lncRNA (ENSSSUG00005002006.1)". Lineage: Eukaryota; Metazoa; Chordata; Mammalia; Carnivora; Herpestidae. The record is from RNAcentral.